UACGGGGGGGGCAAGCGUUGUUCGGAAUUACUGGGCGUAAAGGGCUCGUAGGCGGCCAACUAAGUCCGACGUGAAAUCCCCAAGCUUAACUUGGGAACUGCGUCGGAUACUGGAUGGCUUGAAUUCGGGAGAGGGAUGCAGAAUUCCAGGUGUAGCGGUGAAAUGCGUAGAUAUCUGGAGGAACACCGGUGGCGAAGGCGGCAUCCUGGACCGGCAUUGACGCUGAGGCGCGAAAGCUAGGGGAGCAAACGGG
RNAcentral lists this ribosomal RNA (253 nucleotides) under uncultured bacterium. RNAcentral's name for it is "partial 16S ribosomal RNA". It matches the Rfam family "Bacterial small subunit ribosomal RNA", at positions 524 to 776 of the family's 1533-position model. The record is from RNAcentral.